GCCGAUGUGGCUCAGCGGCGACAGCAGCGGCUUUGUAAGCCGCCUCCGAAAGGACACGUGGGUUCGAGUCCCACCGUCGGCU
This is a transfer RNA of 82 nucleotides. It matches the Rfam family "tRNA". From Rfam's summary of the family: Transfer RNA (tRNA) molecules are approximately 80 nucleotides in length. Their secondary structure includes four short double-helical elements and three loops (D, anti-codon, and T loops).